RNAcentral lists this ribosomal RNA (253 nucleotides) under uncultured bacterium. Its description in RNAcentral is "partial 16S ribosomal RNA". It matches the Rfam family "Bacterial small subunit ribosomal RNA", at positions 524 to 776 of the family's 1533-position model. The record is from RNAcentral.
UACGUAGGGGGCAAGCGUUAUCCGGAUUUACUGGGUGUAAAGGGAGCGUAGACGGGAUAGCAAGUCUGAAGUGAAAGCCCGGGGCUCAACCCCGGGACUGCUUUGGAAACUGUUGACCUGGAGUGCUGGAGAGGCAAGUGGAAUUCCUAGUGUAGCGGUGAAAUGCGUAGAUAUUAGGAGGAACACCAGUGGCGAAGGCGGCUUACUGGACAGUAACUGACGUUGAGGCUCGAAAGCGUGGGGAGCAAACAGG